RNAcentral lists this ribosomal RNA (401 nucleotides) under uncultured bacterium. RNAcentral's name for it is "bacterial SSU rRNA". It matches the Rfam family "Bacterial small subunit ribosomal RNA", at positions 975 to 1375 of the family's 1533-position model. The record is from RNAcentral.
CUACCCUUGACAUGCCAGGAACUUGCCAGAGAUGGCUUGGUGCCCGAAAGGGAACCUGGACACAGGUGCUGCAUGGCUGUCGUCAGCUCGUGUCGUGAGAUGUUGGGUUAAGUCCCGCAACGAGCGCAACCCUUGUCAUUAAUUGCCAUCAUUUAGUUGGGCACUUUAAUGAGACUGCCGGUGAUAAACCGGAGGAAGGUGGGGAUGACGUCAAGUCCUCAUGGCCCUUAUGGGUAGGGCUUCACACGUAAUACAAUGGUCGGUACAGAGGGUCGCCAACCCGCGAGGGGGAGCCAAUCUCAGAAAGCCGAUCGUAGUCCGGAUUGUUCUCUGCAACUCGAGAGCAUGAAGUCGGAAUCGCUAGUAAUCGCGGAUCAGCAUGUCGCGGUGAAUACGUUCCC